RNAcentral lists this transfer RNA (88 nucleotides) under Mycolicibacterium chitae. RNAcentral describes it as "tRNA-Gly". The record is from RNAcentral. Lineage: Bacteria; Bacillati; Actinomycetota; Actinomycetes; Mycobacteriales; Mycobacteriaceae.
ACGUCCGGCGCGCGGGCGGCGGGCGGUGGCUGCCGGUCGCGGGCCGCGGCCGCGCCGCGGUGGCCGGUGCGGCCCCGGCCCGGGUCUU